GCGGUGGCGGCUGUGUCCGGUAAAGUGCGGCUGCUAACUACGGGCUCUGCCCCUGCUAUAAAGCCUUGGAGACCCCGUACCUUCCCAGAGGACUGGAUGCCCUUGAUGACAGCCAGGCAGACCAGGAUCCAGGCAACCAGCAGAGACAGGGUCAUCUUCCAAUUCAGGCCGCCCGUGUCGUCAAUGGAGCUGGUGAUGUUGAGAGUCUGGCGAUACCAGAAACUGGAAACCCCGAUGCCACCCAGCUGUGGGUAGACGUAGUUCCACACCCCGAUGCUGCCACGCCUGAUCCUCUGACCCACCGCCAGCUCCAGGAAGAACAGGGGGAUGCCAAUGAGGAGGAGGAGAAUAAAG
Long non-coding RNA from Centropristis striata (black sea bass), 354 nucleotides. RefSeq lists it as uncharacterized. NCBI's taxonomy places the organism in Eukaryota, Metazoa, Chordata, Actinopteri, Perciformes, Serranidae. The record is from RefSeq and is a predicted model, not a curated record. The transcript is spliced from 3 exons.